UACGGGGAGGCAGCAGUGGGGAAUAUUGCACAAUGGGGGAAACCCUGAUGCAGCCAUGCCGCGUGUGUGAAGAAGGCCUCGGGUUGUAAAGCACUUUCAGUAGGGAGGAAGGUAGUGUAGUUAACACCUGCAUUAUUUGACGUUACCUACAGAAGAAGCACCGGCUAACUCCGUGCCAGCAGCCGCGGUAAUACGGAGGGUGCGAGCGUUAAUCGGAAUUACUGGGCGUAAAGCGCAUGCAGGCGGCCUGUUAAGUCAGAUGUGAAAGCCCGGGGCUUAACCUCGGAAUUGCAUUUGAAACUGGCAGGCUAGAGUCUUGUAGAGGGGGGUAGGAAUUUCAGGUGUAGCGGUGAAAUGCGUAGAGAUCUGAAGGAAUACCAGUGGCGAAGGCGGCCCCCUGGACAAAGACUGACGCUCAGAUGCGAAAGCGUGGGGAGCAAACAGGAUUAGAUACCCUGGUAG
Molecule: ribosomal RNA, 462 nt
Filed under: uncultured bacterium
Lineage: Bacteria
Description: bacterial SSU rRNA
Rfam family: Bacterial small subunit ribosomal RNA
Source: RNAcentral